This 817-nucleotide ribosomal RNA is filed under the name Alternaria sp. Its description in RNAcentral is "partial large subunit ribosomal RNA". It matches the Rfam family "Eukaryotic large subunit ribosomal RNA", at positions 74 to 909 of the family's 3401-position model. The record is from RNAcentral. Lineage: Eukaryota; Fungi; Ascomycota; Dothideomycetes; Pleosporales; Pleosporaceae.
AUUGCCCUAGUAACGGCGAGUGAAGCGGCAACAGCUCAAAUUUGAAAUCUGGCUCUUUUAGAGUCCGAGUUGUAAUUUGCAGAGGGCGCUUUGGCUUUGGCAGCGGUCCAAGUUCCUUGGAACAGGACGUCACAGAGGGUGAGAAUCCCGUACGUGGUCGCUGGCUAUUGCCGUGUAAAGCCCCUUCGACGAGUCGAGUUGUUUGGGAAUGCAGCUCUAAAUGGGAGGUACAUUUCUUCUAAAGCUAAAUAUUGGCCAGAGACCGAUAGCGCACAAGUAGAGUGAUCGAAAGAUGAAAAGCACUUUGGAAAGAGAGUCAAACAGCACGUGAAAUUGUUGAAAGGGAAGCGCUUGCAGCCAGACUUGCUUACAGUUGCUCAUCCGGGUUUCUACCCGGUGCACUCUUCUGUAGGCAGGCCAGCAUCAGUUUGGGCGGUAGGAUAAAGGUCUCUGUCACGUACCUCCUUUCGGGGAGGCCUUAUAGGGGAGACGACAUACUACCAGCCUGGACUGAGGUCCGCGCAUCUGCUAGGAUGCUGGCGUAAUGGCUGUAAGCGGCCCGUCUUGAAACACGGACCAAGGAGUCUAACAUCUAUGCGAGUGUUUGGGUGUCAAGCCCGAGCGCGUAAUGAAAGUGAACGGAGGUGGGAACCCGCAAGGGUGCACCAUCGACCGAUCCUGAUGUCUUCGGAAGGAUUUGAGUAAGAGCAUGGCUGUUGGGACCCGAAAGAUGGUGAACUAUGCUUGAAUAGGGUGAAGCCAGAGGAAACUCUGGUGGAGGCUCGCAGCGGUUCUGACGUGCAAAUCGAUCGUCAAA